Molecule: ribosomal RNA, 557 nt
Filed under: uncultured eukaryote
Lineage: Eukaryota
Description: SSU rRNA
Rfam family: Eukaryotic small subunit ribosomal RNA
Source: RNAcentral
GGUUGAUCCUGCCAGUAGUCAUAUGCUUGUCUCAAAGAUUAAGCCAUGCAUGUCUAAGUAUAAACACCUUUAUACUGUGAAACUGCAGAUGGCUCAUUAAAUCAGAAAUAAUUUAUUUGAUGGUGACCUACUACAUGGAUAACCGUAGUAAUUCUAGAGCUAAUACAUGCGUAUAAGUGCAGCCUCCGGGCUGUCACUGUAUUUAUUAGAUAAAAAACCAAACCCUUCGGGGCUUUGUGCUGAAUCAUAAUAACUGUUCGAAUCGCACGCUUACGCUGGCGAUAGUUCAUUCAAAUUUCUGCCCUAUCAGCUAUUGACGGUAGUGUAGUGGACUACCGUGGCAUUAACGGGUAACGAAGAAUUAGGGCUCGAUUCCGGAGAGGGAGCCUGAGAAACGGCUACCACAUCCAAGGAAGGCAGCAGGCGCGCAAAUUACCCAAUCCCGACACGGGGAGGUAGUGACAAGAAAUAGCGAUUCCGGGUCUUUAUAGGUCUGGUUAUUGCAAUGGACGUAUUGUAAAUGCCUACGUGAGUAUCCAUUGGAGGGCAAGUCUGGU